RNAcentral lists this long non-coding RNA (466 nucleotides) under Ananas comosus (pineapple). Its description in RNAcentral is "long non-coding RNA (ACOM_LNC017002)". The record is from RNAcentral. Lineage: Eukaryota; Viridiplantae; Streptophyta; Magnoliopsida; Poales; Bromeliaceae.
AUGUGAUUCGAGGUUGGAAGUCAGAACGGAAGCAAGAUCUAUAUGUUGGAUGUGGCCCACGUAAUUUAUUUAACGCGAUUUAUAAAUAUAGAGUCGGUUUAUUCAAAUGGAUUUAUAAAAAUAUGGAAGAUCUCAUUGUUAGAAUGUAUGGUUAGAAUGUAUUUGGAUACGUCCUUGAUGAACAGACGUGAUUUAACAUCCUUACAUUAAGUUAUAUAUAAAUAUGUAACAUACAGGAGUCCUGGUCUAACCCUAAUCCAAUUUUUUGUGACGGUUCCAUCUCCAGGAAUAAAGGAAUUAGACUCAAUACGUCCUGCUUUCUUGCAGAUCACGAACGAAAACGAACCACGAGUAAGGACCGUCGUCUAUAAUCCGGGUAUUGAAAUUGAAAUCAUGGCAGAAGAUACGAUCUUAGUUUCUAAUAAAGUUUCAACACUAGAUGAUUAUUUUGUCUAUAGUCUUUUUU